Molecule: ribosomal RNA, 451 nt
Filed under: Erysipelotrichaceae bacterium canine oral taxon 381
Lineage: Bacteria; Bacillati; Bacillota; Erysipelotrichia; Erysipelotrichales; Erysipelotrichaceae
Description: bacterial SSU rRNA
Rfam family: Bacterial small subunit ribosomal RNA
Source: RNAcentral
GAGUUUGAUUCUGGCUCAGGAUGAACGCUGGCGGCGUGCCUAAUACAUGCAAGUCGAACGAAAAUCAAGGAAGCUUGCUUUUGCGAUUUUAGUGGCGAACGGGUGAGUAAGACAUAAAUAAUCUGCCUCUUAAACGGGGAUAAUUUCUGGAAACGGGGACUAAUACCGGAUAAGUGAACGAAGGGCAUCCUUUGUUUAUGAAAGGUGGGCAACACCGAUAAGAGAUGAGUUUAUGGUGCAUUAGCUAGUUGGUAAGGUAACGGCUUACCAAGGCGAUGAUGCAUAGCCGGCCUGAGAGGGCGACCGGCCACACUGGGACUGAGACACGGCCCAGACUCCUACGGGAGGCAGCAGUAGGGAAUUUUCGGCAAUGGGGGGAACCCUGACCGAGCAACGCCGCGUGAGUGAAGAAGGCCUUCGGGUUGUAAAACUCUGUUAUCAGGGAAGAAUG